GGGGUUGUGGCUCAGUGGUAGAGCGCUCACCUAGCAUGUGUGAGACACUAGGCAUAUAAAUAAAUAAAAGAAAGUUCAAAAAAAUAUUUAAAAAAAUAUCAAAGAGACAUAACUAAUUGCAAUGUGUGAGUGAAUCUCAGUUCAAUUCCAGCCCCC
This 156-nucleotide transfer RNA is filed under the name Marmota monax (woodchuck). RNAcentral's name for it is "tRNA.Ala". Lineage: Eukaryota; Metazoa; Chordata; Mammalia; Rodentia; Sciuridae. The record is from RNAcentral.